UGCAGACACAUCUGAAUACAUGAAUGUAUACACACACAUACACACACACACACACACACACACACACACACACACACACACACACACACAGAGGGAAAAAGCAACAAAACCAAACAUCCUUUUCGCUUCAGGACAGAGUGAUGAGGUCGGACGUGGGAAGCAAUUGCUUCCUAAAACAAGAUGACAGGGAGGAAAAUCCACAAAUAAAACUGAGAAGCCUUAAGUAGAAGCUGGAAGGUUUACGAUGAUACAGUCUCAUACACAGCAUCUGUAUUUAAUAUGAAGAUUAAGUUGCAACAUGAUUAGUCCCAUGACUGCAAGGCUAUGUUGCCCAUCAAGCUCUACACUUACAUUUCCAUUUUGGUUUUUGCAAAUUAAAAACAAAGACAUGUGAAAAGUGUUAACAUUGUACUCGAAAAGACGUAACAUGCAUCACACUCAAGAUCCACACAAUUAAAAUCCUAUUUAACAUUCUCACAGUCUGUUAUAUACCGAUCAAACACAACAUUAUGGCCGCUGACAGAUGACAUGACUAACACUGAUUAUCUCUUCAUCAUGGCACCUGUUAGUGGGUGGGAUAUAUUAGGGAGCAAGUAAACACUUUGUCCUCAAAGUUGAUGUCUUAGAAGGAGGAAAAACAGACAAAUGUAAGGAUUUGAGCGGCAGUCACUGACUGCAGUGUUUAGUAUCUAUCACAAGUGGUCCAACGAAGGAACAUUGGUAAACCAAUAACAGGGUGAUGGAUGGCCAUCACCCUGUUAUUGGUGAUCAAACACAUGCUGACUUACUUAUGAGAAAUAAAACUGAAUCUCAGCUGGGCCUCAGAAAGGUUGCAUUAUGAUGAGAAGGGGUCUCUGACCAUCGCCGUGUGAUGAGACUGAGGCAAAACUGUUUUGCAAUCUUACAGAAGGCAUAAUGUCAACAGGACUUUGGAUCCUUAAUCAACAACAAACCAACUCGGUAUUCUUGUGCAAGAACAAGUAACUGCCUAAAAAAUCCCAACAUUUUAACCGUGUGUUUUCAUUUAUUAACCACGACUGGGAGAACUGCCCAUCCUAUUUUAAGAUCACUGAUUCCACGCAGGAUGCAAAGACAAAACCAAUGAGCGAUGAUAAACAGCACAAGAUCGAAAUGUCCUUGAGUGCUGAGUAAUUACAAGAACAACUCGUUUUUGAGAGCGUGUUUACAAAAUGUGAAGCCAGAUAUCAUGGCUACACAGCUGGAGGAGCAAUGAGACAGAAAUGCACACACACUUGGAAUGACACAUCCGAUUCCCAUGUCUGUUAUGGGCCUACAGGUCAAUGAACUGUAACCAAAGGAAGCAGGGGCUGAACAGCAGCCCUAAUGAAGGGGGCUGAGAGCCACAGUCAAGCUUACGUAACGUACGACAACACGUGUGCACGCACACACAUACGCAAAAGGCAAUGUUCCACCGAACGAGCCCUUUUUGGACUGUUUAUUUGGACACAGGAAAAGGGCAAGGGCUUGUGUAUAUCUCAUUGUGCACAAAGGGGAAGUUACACAGGCCCUGAACCUGGGGGGGCGUGUCACCGCAGUGACUAUGUGUUGCGGAGUUUGUGUUAGGCGUUCUUUCUUUAGAAUAAAGUGCAGUCUCUUAGUGUUGCCUGUGUGUGACACAGACAUCAGCAGGAAGGCAGAGGAGCAGACAAUGAGCUAAAUUGAGGGACAACGUUGUUUGAUAAGCUGCAGGAAACUGGUUCAGGGGACUGAAUCUCAGAUCUUUUCCUGUGUACUUUUUUAAAGCUGAGUCUGAACCCACUGCAUCAAAAGGCAGAGUUUGGGCUGGGCCAGGAUCUAAUUUCUCUUAAUUCCCUCUGGCUGGAGAAGGUCAGUUUCAUUUUAAAAGAGUCUUUUUUCCCUUUUUUUUUCUCCCCCAACUACAGCAAGUGAAGCAGCACAUUUUCGACUGUGUGGUCCCUUCUGCUAUUCCUAAAUAACACAUAAUAGUCUUCUUACAGCCCCAGUCAAAUAUAUCUUUGGCUUUCACUUGGAAGAGUAAUUAUUCUUUUCAUAUUUUAUCAAAUUCUCUUUUUGGGACAUAUUCUAACACUUUUACGAUAGGCACUGCCUGCACAAAUUUGUAUACCCCUUCCUUUGGGUGUGGGUUUGAACUCAGGGUCAAUGUUCAGGGCUCAAAAUUUAGGCUACUAUGAAAGUGCCAAAAAAAACAAAACAGUGCCAUAUCUGAAAGCUUAAAAAUUUAGUUCAUACGUCAGUCAUUUUUUAGAUACAGGGCUGAACAAGAAGAUCUGAGAUCUGUCCUUUCACAGAACUCUUCCAUAAUUUUCUCCCUGUUGGUGGAUACUUUAACUAAAGCUGUCUGGUAAAAUUCAAGUAUUUGUUUUUAGAUGAAUGGAUGUAAACAGUGAAAAGAAUCUGUUAAUAUAUAUAAUAUAUUCCAUCCAUUCCUCCUCUUCUGCUUCUCAUGGGGGAGCUAGAGCCUAUCUCAGCAGCCAGGUACACCUUGGACAGUCUAUUGCAGGGCUAACACAACCAUUCACACCUACGGGCAAUUUAGAAACACCAGUUAACCUAACCCCACUAACUGCAUGUCUUUGGACUGUGGGAGGAAGCCAGAGUACCUGAGAGAACCCCUACAGACACGGAGAGAAGAUGCAAACUCCACACAGACAGGUUCUGGUUGAAUGGUGGAUUCGAACCCAGGACCUGUGAGGCAACAGUGCCAAUCACUGCACCACCGUGCCCUAUUCCAAAUUACUUUAUUUUUUUGAAUAAGUGACUGUCUUUAUGUCUGGCUAUUUCUUGUGUGAUGAGUCAUUUUAAGCAUGAGACCUGACCAAACUGUAGUGACCACACGUUUGCUUAGUUUUUCAUACAUUUCAGACACUGUCCAUAAUUCAGUCUCAUAAUGCAGAAGUUGACAGUCGGUAGAAGGGAACAACAUGGUAUUACUGUUGCCACAGAAGGUAUCAGUAAGCUGUUUUAGGUCUGAUGCUGGAAAUUUGGGGGGAAUUCUGCAGAAAUUUUGAUCUGUAACGUGAAAGACCAUGAAAGGAUCUUUAAAACGGUCAAGCCAGGAUUAUACAGUACCAAAUGUUGUGCAACUAUUCAUGUUAUGUAAUAAAAUGCAGUACAGUAGUUCCAUCUCUUCUUAUUAAAUCAUCGUUCAAAUAUCAAAUUAUACUUUAAUCGCUUGAAGGUGACGUCCAACGAGUAAUGCUACAGGUUCAAUGACAGAUAUAAAAUUGUUGCUGUUACUGGAACAAAACAAUGAAUAAAAAAUAAAAUAAAUCUAGUAGUUCAACAAGAAAAUCAAAGCCUUAUGGGAUCAUCCAAUGCUUCCAGUUUGCAGUCCUGGAAGUGCUCCACACUGUUUCAGAUUUCCAUUUGUUAUGACUACAGUUGCUCGAUUUUCACCCCGCACCCUUUAGUGCCUUUGUUUCUAAAAGCAGGCUGUACCUCGUUUUGACGCUUGCGCACUGGUUAUCGACUUUUCAGAACCAUUUUCUCAGUUUUUUGCCCUCUGCAUCCCUCUCUCCCCCAGUGCCCAGUGAAGGGGCCUGCUGAGGGUGGCCGCUAAGCCAGAACAAACACACCACACCGCACCAGAUUCCAUCUCCCCAGGCCAACACUUACGCACAAACUUCCUGCUAACAGACCUCCACCCAUCACUUCGUUUCUCUUUUCAUCCUUCUUGCAUCGCUUUUCUCCUACCUUGUUACCUUCUUAUCCGCUCAUUUAUCUCCUCUUCCCUCUUUUCCUUUCUCAGCUUGCUCCCUUUAUUUUCCGCGCUUAUUCACUUCCCUCUUUACGGAUUUGUUUUUCUUCUCCUUCCCUUUUCUUUUGGUCCAUAUCUGUUUUCCUCUCCAGCUUUUUAACUUCUUCCUUUCUCUUUUCUCUGUUUUUCUCAGUUCUACUCGAUCAACUUUCUCCUAAUCGCAAACUUUCUUCCCUUGGAUAUCCUCUCACAAUCCUGGUGUUUCCUUCCUUUUCUUCUCUAAUCUGUUUCUGACAAAACCGUUCCUGUUUGUCUUCCUCUCACAUCUCCAACUUCCGUGCCUCCUACUACUUUUAUUAGAAUCUUUUUAUUCCCUGCACCCUGCUUCUGAACUUCCGACUUUCUUACAUCUUUACAGUCCUUGUCUUUGUGUGUUUGAAGCAAAGGAAAAUCAUAACGAGUGACAAAUGUUAUUAAAAUGACAAAAAUCAAUUUGCCUACUCUGUCUUACUAAUAUACUUGCUCUCUGUACUCUAUGUACACACUCUCAGUGAAACGCUGCCUGUUGUUUUGCCUCUGCUGCCUCUAUUCAGAUGUGUCCAGCUGACGAUGUCCAGAAACCUCUGACCUCCAUAACCCUCUCCACCCUCUUCUUGCCUGUAGUGGCCCUGGCUCCUAAACCUCCAACUUGCCCUUUGAUCCAUCAAAGGCAGAAAAACACAGCAAAUGAAUAAAGCACAGGUCUCUCCUCUCAAUGCAUUGCUUAAGAGCUGUGGGCUGUGACAGGAGUAACUACAGAGUGAGCUAUUAGCCUUGGUAUGUCAUUACCGUAAGAAACAGCGUCAGACAUAGUCUGUGUGUGAAUAGCUACAAGCUAAAGUACUUCUUUUGUUGCUUAUAAUAUUUUCUUGCAUAUAAAUAACCAGCAGUGCCUUUAAGAAGCACACACAAGCAACAGGGCCAUACAACAGGACUCACUGCUCAUUCUGAUACAUCAAAUGAAGUAACGUAAGUUUUACUUUCAAUAUUUUUCAUCUGGUUGACAUUUAGCUGAGUACUUGGUGACUGUUUUUCUCUAACCAAUCCAAACCCAGAACAUCAGGGUUUUAGGAUCCUCCCAGCAAAUGAUGCUUUCAGUCUGAGGCAUUGAUAAUCGUUGAUUUCUGAGGCUGCUAGCUGGGAACAUUUGGGCUUUCUUUCCUUGGGGUAUCCUCAUGAGUGUUUCUGUGACUACACGUAGCCCUUCCAGCUCACAGCAGAUCUGUCAGGAGGAGCACUGUCGCUGCCAGCUGCAGGGGGAGUUGGAGUAUAUCCCACCACAAAAUAAGAUGGGGAGGCAGCUCAGUUACAUUAAUGACCACUACAACAACACCCUUGCCAUCAAGCCUAAUGGCAACAAGGCAGAUCUUAAAAUACCAUGGUGUUCCCUCAGGUAAUGUUGAACGGGAAAACAUCAAAUCAAUUGAUUAAUGCGAGUAAGAUGAGUGUGCAGAUGAGGGAACUGUGGACAAAGUUCCCCAAGCACAUAAACCCACAGUGACACUAAACCAUGACUCAAGGGAAGCAGUGGAGACCUCAAAUGAUCACAGAUGUUAAGGUGUGGAAGCCAUACCAAUUACAUUCUUUGUCUGUAGGGUUUUUGCAACAGACACCCAACAACAGAUGUGAAGUGAUGCGGAAUGGUCAGUCUGUUGUCCUAAUGACAAAAUCAACAAAAACUACAUCUAUGAGCAAAGCAAACUGUACCAACCAAUCCAGACCCCGAUCAAGCCACGUCCAGCUACAUAUGAACGCUGCUCUCAUGCACCAUUUCCUUUGAUGGUAAGCCUUAGGCCUAACAGGCUCCUCAUUCCUUCAGCUCCCUUAGGAGAGCCAAUCAGAGGACACUGAUGAAAGCCGCAAAGAUUCAGCUGUCGAAGCCAAUGCUGGCUGUGACCUUGUGUGCUUUAGUGAUCACCAUCAUCACCUACAUCAGUGAGCGAGCCUGAGAAGAAUGCAGGGGUCUUAUAAAGUGAUGUAUUACACUCAUAUGAUCCCAGAGGGAAACCUUUUGUCAAGCUGUAAGAGGAGUGCUGAUGAAACAUUGAAGCACUUACAGAAACGAGGAAGCAGGACGGCUACAGCAGCAAGGAAAAGCAAGUUUGAACUGUCUGUGUUAAUUUCCUCAGUCUGACAUUUUGUAAUAAUAAUUUAUUUUGAUUUUUUUAAACAAAGGCUCCCUUUAAUGUACUUAAGGGGGUAAUUACACAAUCCUUCACUGAUACACAAAUACGGAUAUAUACAGUUUACCAAAUUAAAGCACAACAUUGCACACCAGUUGUUUUUACUAUAGCUCAACAAAAAGGUCAGUUUCUCAGGGCUUAUUCUGUUAUUGAGCACAAAUAGAAAUAAUUUAUGCUUUUUAAAGAAAACUAAUAUGUUUAAAGAUGCUAUGUUGAAAAUCCCGUGCUCUGUUAAAAGAGUGCUUGUCAAACCUUUGACAAAAACCUCCAAUUUCAUAGGGGGGCUAAUAACUUUGUCCUCAUCUGUAACUAACUUAAAACUAAUACAUAAGACUGGGUUUUGUUUUAAGACAGUUCUGGAAGUCAAAAACACAGAUGGUGACUCUUUAGCACAAACUUGCCUGACUUAUGCUGUGGCACUUUUGAGAGUUACCUGGCCUAGCUGUAUAACUGCCCUUUAAAUGCAACCCACAUGUCCAAUGCCUCUUAAUCAUGACAAGAUGGUCUUCAUGAGAAAACCAGAAACCCGACCUAACUCAAGAAGGCUUCAAGACCAUAGCUAAGCAAAAAAAACACCUAUAGGUGAAAGACUUACAUCCAGCAGACUUAGAAGUGCAAUAUUGUGCUUGUCUUUCUACGAGGCCAUCUAACAAAGCAUUUGUGUUCCCCCCCUCCUCACUCUUUGUCUCUUGUUCCCACACUUUAUUUUGACCCCAAAAGGAAAGAAGGAGGUCUCUGUCUAUCACGGUUACAUUUCGCUCCAAGCAGCUGAGAGGGCGGCUGAAGAUCUCAUAGGUCACAUGGGUCCCUGUGGUGGAGCUUUUAUGACCAAGUGGGAUGCAAAUCCCUGUUAUGGAUGUUGAGGUUCUGACUACACGGACUAAAGUUAAGCAGAUGGAAAACACAAACAGGAAUGCUGCUUGUACAGAGGGUUGCUAUGGAAAACGCUCAAGGUUAAAGCGCACACACACAUCAUUCUCAUCCACCCAUCUUUAGCGUCCACCCAACCCAAACAAGCGCAGAAAGCUUGAAGCUGGAUAAAAAUAAACAUGGGUAAAUAAACAACACAGGAAGGCCGGGGUCAUGAUGUGAUUGGGAGAGAUCAACAAUGGAAAAACCUCUUGUGAGCCAACCGAUGUGGGGUUGGAUCUUCAUUCCACAUCUACGCUCUGCGGCUGAGCGCCGUCUGUCAUUCAUCUUGUCGAUAAGCAGGCACUUGCACAAUUCCCAAAAGUACAGUGUCUCCUCCUCUUUCUAUAUUUGCAGCCUUCGCAUUGUUUACCAUAUGCACAAAAAUGCAUUUGCAUUCUUCAGAUGGGCAAUGUCAACCACCGUUUUAGGACCCAUCUCCUCCUGCGCUACACCACAAUUCACAAACUAGACGCCACUGUGGUCACAGUCGUCCUGCUCUUCCUGUGACUUUUGUUUUUUGUUUUUUUUAAGUCAUCUCAUUGAGGUCUGGGGAGGUGAACUGACUGGGUACAACAUCCAAAAGAGGCAAGACAGGAAAACCCAAUUAAACACAGGCACAAAUAUGGCAGACCCCGCGGGAAAGUAUUUUUUCAACUUGGUAUAAAGAUAGUUUUUGUCUCUAUGCAUGAUUUACACUUUUAUACCAAAUAUACAAAAGUCAAUUUUUUCUUUCCUAAUUGUUUUUAAGUGUCGAUAUUAUUCGGAUACAAUAAAAUAUACAAAUAUACAACAUUUUUCUUUUUACACAAACAGUAGUAGAAACAUGACAACCGCCUGCAGCCAUUAUACGACUAACCUUUUGUCAGCCAAGUGAGUUUGUCCUAUAGCAGCCGCCGUAGCUAGGAUUAUGCACUUGGAUUGGGAGGGGUAAGAAAACAGAACUCACUUGAUUCAAUCUGCAAUUUAAUGACAUCUAACAGUGAAAACUUUACUGUAACUUUCAAAUUAACAGGCGUGCAGAUAGAGGCAGUCCAUGCCAACAGUGUGCUCAGCCUCACCUGUGCUCAGGGCUGGACUGCGAUGGUUACUUUAACCAUGAGCAACUGCUAGUAGCUAAAGUGUAGUUUUUAAAUUGUCAUAUGAUAUAUAGGUUUUUAUUAAGCAAACAUGAAAGUGCCAGUCCAGCCCUGCCUGUGCUAAUUCAUGGACCACUAAACCCAUUUCUUUAUAAAUUAUAAUACAAGCACACGCACACAUUUUUUGAUUAUUAAAUAAUUAUAGAUAUUGUGUAUUAGACAGGCAUAUUUAACCAGAUUUCAGAUGUUAUAAUCAAAACAGAUGUGAGCUGAUGAUGGUGGUAGGAAUUAAAAAAAAAAUCUUUUUCAUCCUCCUAUUAACUGUCGUACGAAAAUGAUUGAAAUGGUUGAAAAAUGGCAACGUUGAGGCUUUAAACUGUGAAGUCAAGAAUUCACAGUCGUGGUCUAUCUUAUGUACAAUUAAUAAUUACUCUCUAUAAUAGUCUUGGGUCUUGCCCUCACUAUAAGAAGGCUCCUUGAAUGAUGUAUGAAAUACCAGAUACAAAUGAAGUGAAGUGAAUGGGACGCCAAUUUUUUACUGUCCCUCGUAGCAGAGAUAUGCAAAAGUUCUGAGAACAAACCCAUCAGCCAAUUAGAACAGCUUAUGUCCUAGCUAAGACACACACGCACACGUACGCAUACACACACACACAGAGUGGACUGGCUUAGUCACAACUUGGCUAAGUAAGCUGUCAUGCUUAUGGUUUUAACUCUCAUCAACAACGCUCACUCCUUCUCUCGCUUAGUCUGUGCUGGACACACACACACACACACACACACACACACACACACACACA
Molecule: long non-coding RNA, 8707 nt
Organism: Oreochromis niloticus (Nile tilapia)
Lineage: Eukaryota; Metazoa; Chordata; Actinopteri; Cichliformes; Cichlidae
Exons: 2
Source: RefSeq, a predicted model, not a curated record